GGAUGGGUGGCCGAGCGGUUGAAGGCACCGGUCUUGAAAACCGGCAGGCCCUUGCGGGUCUCGUGGGUUCGAAUCCCACCCCAUCCGCCA
RNAcentral lists this transfer RNA (90 nucleotides) under Rhodospirillales bacterium. RNAcentral describes it as "tRNA-Ser". It matches the Rfam family "tRNA". Rfam says of the family: Transfer RNA (tRNA) molecules are approximately 80 nucleotides in length. Their secondary structure includes four short double-helical elements and three loops (D, anti-codon, and T loops). Further hydrogen bonds mediate the characteristic L-shaped molecular structure. tRNAs have two regions of fundamental functional importance: the anti-codon, which is responsible for specific mRNA codon recognition, and the 3' end, to which the tRNAs corresponding amino acid is attached (by aminoacyl-tRNA synthetases). tRNAs cope with the degeneracy of the genetic code in two manners: having more than one tRNA (with a specific anti-codon) for a particular amino acid; and 'wobble' base-pairing, i.e. permitting non-standard base-pairing at the 3rd anti-codon position. The record is from RNAcentral. Lineage: Bacteria; Pseudomonadati; Pseudomonadota; Alphaproteobacteria; Rhodospirillales.